CGGAAUUAUUGGGCGUAAAGGGCUCGCAGGCGGUUUCUUAAGUCUGAUGUGAAAGCCCCCGGCUCAACCGGGGAGGGUCAUUGGAAACUGGGAAACUUGAGUGCAGAAGAGGAGAGUGGAAUUCCACGUGUAGCGGUGAAAUGCGUAGAGAUGUGGAGGAACACCAGUGGCGAAGGCGACUCUCUGGUCUGUAACUGACGCUGAGGAGCGAAAGCGUGGGGAGCGAACAGGAUUAGAUACCCUGGUAGUCCACGCCGUAAACGAUGAGUGCUAAGUGUUAGGGGGUUUCCGCCCCUUAGUGCUGCAGCUAACGCAUUAAGCACUCCGCCUGGGGAGUACGGUCGCAAGACUGAAACUCAAAGGAAUUGACGGGGGCCCGCACAAGCGGUGGAGCAUGUGGUUUAAUUCGAAGCAACGCGAAGAACCUUACCAGGUCUUGACAUCCUCUGACAACCCUAGAGAUAGGGCUUUCCCUUCGGGGACAGAGUGACAGGUGGUGCAUGGUUGUCGUCAGCUCGUGUCGUGAGAUGUUGGGUUAAGUCCCGCAACGAGCGCAACCCUUGAUCUUAGUUGCCAGCAUUCAGUUGGGCACUCUAAGGUGACUGCCGGUGACAAACCGGAGGAAGGUGGGGAUGACGUCAAAUCAUCAUGCCCCUUAUGACCUGGGCUACACACGUGCUACAAUGGACAGAACAAAGGGCUGCGAGACCGCAAGGUUUAGCCAAUCCCACAAAUCUGUUCUCAGUUCGGAUCGCAGUCUGCAACUCGACUGCGUGAAGCUGGAAUCGCUAGUAAUCGCGGAUCAGCAUGCCGCGGUGGAAUACGUUCCCGGGCCUUGUACACACCGCCCGUCACACCACGAGAGUUUGCAACACCCGAAGUC
This 883-nucleotide ribosomal RNA is filed under the name Bacillus altitudinis. RNAcentral describes it as "bacterial SSU rRNA". It matches the Rfam family "Bacterial small subunit ribosomal RNA", at positions 546 to 1428 of the family's 1533-position model. Lineage: Bacteria; Bacillati; Bacillota; Bacilli; Caryophanales; Bacillaceae. The record is from RNAcentral.